UAUGAACGCUAGCUACAGGCUUAACACAUGCAAGUCGAGGGGCAGCAUUUUAGUUUGCUUGCAAACUGAAGAUGGCGACCGGCGCACGGGUGAGUAACACGUAUCCAACCUGCCGAUAACUCCGGGAUAGCCUUUCGAAAGAAAGAUUAAUACCGGAUAGCAUACGAGUAUCGCAUGAUAUUUUUAUUAAAGAAUUUCGGUUAUCGAUGGGGAUGCGUUCCAUUAGUUUGUUGGCGGGGUAACGGCCCACCAAGACAACGAUGGAUAGGGGUUCUGAGAGGAAGGUCCCCCACAUUGGAACUGAGACACGGUCCAAACUCCUACGGGAGGCAGCAGUGAGGAAUAUUGGUCAAUGGGCGAGAGCCUGAACCAGCCAAGUAGCGUGAAGGAUGAAGGCUCUAUGGGUCGUAAACUUCUUUUAUAUGGGAAUAAAGUAUUCCACGUGUGGAAUUUUGUAUGUACCAUAUGAAUAAGGAUCGGCUAACUCCGUGCCAGCAGCCGCGGUAAUACGGAGGAUCCGAGCGUUAUCCGGAUUUAUUGGGUUUAAAGGGAGCGUAGGUGGAUUGUUAAGUCAGUUGUGAAAGUUUGCGGCUCAACCGUAAAAUUGCAGUUGAAACUGGCAGUCUUGAGUACAGUAGAGGUGGGCGGAAUUCGUGGUGUAGCGGUGAAAUGCUUAGAUAUCACGAAGAACUCCGAUUGCGAAGGCAGCUCACUAGACUGUCACUGACACUGAUGCUCGAAAGUGUGGGUAUCAAACAGGAUUAGAUACCCUGGUAGUCCACACAGUAAACGAUGAAUACUCGCUGUUUGCGAUAUACAGUAAGCGGCCAAGCGAAAGCAUUAAGUAUUCCACCUGGGGAGUACGCCGGCAACGGUGAAACUCAAAGGAAUUGACGGGGGCCCGCACAAGCGGAGGAACAUGUGGUUUAAUUCGAUGAUACGCGAGGAACCUUACCCGGGCUUAAAUUGCAACAGAAUAUAUUGGAAACAGUAUAGCCGUAAGGCUGUUGUGAAGGUGCUGCAUGGUUGUCGUCAGCUCGUGCCGUGAGGUGUCGGCUUAAGUGCCAUAACGAGCGCAACCCUUAUCUUUAGUUACUAACAGGUCAUGCUGAGGACUCUAGAGAGACUGCCGUCGUAAGAUGUGAGGAAGGUGGGGAUGACGUCAAAUCAGCACGGCCCUUACGUCCGGGGCUACACACGUGUUACAAUGGGGGGUACAGAAGGCGGCUACCUGGUGACAGGAUGCUAAUCCCAAAAACCUCUCUCAGUUCGGAUCGAAGUCUGCAACCCGACUUCGUGAAGCUGGAUUCGCUAGUAAUCGCGCAUCAGCCAUGGCGCGGUGAAUACGUUCCCGGGCCUUGUACACACCGCCCGUCAAGCCAUGAAAGCCGGGGGUACCUGAAGUACGUAACCGCAAGGAGCGUCCUAGGGUAAAACUGGU
RNAcentral lists this ribosomal RNA (1441 nucleotides) under uncultured organism. RNAcentral's name for it is "SSU rRNA". It matches the Rfam family "Bacterial small subunit ribosomal RNA". The record is from RNAcentral.